RNAcentral lists this ribosomal RNA (497 nucleotides) under uncultured bacterium. Its description in RNAcentral is "partial 16S ribosomal RNA". It matches the Rfam family "Bacterial small subunit ribosomal RNA", at positions 28 to 507 of the family's 1533-position model. The record is from RNAcentral.
GACGAACGCUGGCGGCGUGCCUAAUACAUGCAAGUUGAGCGCUGAAGGUUGGUACUUGUACCAACUGGAUGAGCAGCGAACGGGUGAGUAACGCGUGGGGAAUCUGCCUUUGAGCGGGGGACAACAUUUGGAAACGAAUGCUAAUACCGCAUAAAAACUUUAAACACAAGUUUUAAGGUUGAAAGAUGCAAUUGCAUCACUCAAAGAUGAUCCCGCGUUGUAUUAGCUAGUUGGUGAGGUAAAGGCUCACCAAGGCGAUGAUACAUAGCCGACCUGAGAGGGUGAUCGGCCACAUUGGGACUGAGACACGGCCCAAACUCCUACGGGAGGCAGCAGUAGGGAAUCUUCGGCAAUGGACGAAAGUCUGACCGAGCAACGCCGCGGGAGUGAAGAAGGUUUUCGGAUCGUAAAACUCGGUUGGUAGAGAAGAACGUUGGUGAGAGUGGAAAGCUCAUCAAGUGACGGUAACUACCCAGAAAGGGACGGCUAACUACGUG